RNAcentral lists this long non-coding RNA (632 nucleotides) under Ananas comosus (pineapple). RNAcentral's name for it is "long non-coding RNA (ACOM_LNC031352)". The record is from RNAcentral. Lineage: Eukaryota; Viridiplantae; Streptophyta; Magnoliopsida; Poales; Bromeliaceae.
UGUAACAUUCUAAGUCUUGGAUGGCAAAAUAAUUCUGAUUGGAAUAUAUAAACUCGCACACUAAUAAUAAUAACUGGAUUUAAGCAUUUUGGGCUAGUGGUUUCGACCCAAUGAGUUAUUAUUACUAUCGGAUUGAGUUGUUACAAUAUAUUCCAAUCAAGCAGAGAUAAUGAAAUUUAUCUCUACCAUUUCACCAAACGAGGUGUUUUUGAACAAAAUAUUUUUAUCUUUUGGUGGAAUAAUGUUAUUCCAAGGUUUAAUUUCAAGUUUUAUUAAGAUUGUAAAUUGAAUUAAAGCUAAAUUAUAUAGAUAUAAUAUCUUAUAUUUAUGGUAAAUUAUUUUAUUAUAAAAUUAUUAAUUAUACUAUAUUAAUACGUAUUAUUUAUAUUUAAAUAUUAUAAUAAACUAUUAUAGUAAAUUAUACUUAAAUAUUAUAUAAUAAAUUAUUUUUUAAUAUUUUAUUAAAUUUGAGAUCAAGUAGAAUUUGCAAAGAAGUUAUACAUAAUAUAUUUUUUAUUAAAUUAUAAUUUAUAAACAAUAUAUUUUUAUUAAAUCAUAAUUUAUAAUAAAUUAUUUUUAUUAAAUAUUAUAAUAAAUUAUUUUUAUAAAUUAAUUUUACAAUAAAUUAUUUU